UUUAAGUGCAGUUGUGAGCUGAUUUUCGUGUCCAACGUUUCACCGUUCAUCUUGUUUGAAAAUUUUCUAUUAGUAGCAUUUUUAUUGUUAUUAGAUUAUAGAACAUGAACCGUACUUUAUGUAUGACUUAUUUUUUAAAAAAUUUUCAUAUUUUUUUAAAUAAGACGGAUGAUCAGACAUUGGACACGGAAACUCACAACUGCACUUAAA
This is a non-coding RNA of Oryza meridionalis, 210 nucleotides long. The record is from Rfam. NCBI's taxonomy places the organism in Eukaryota, Viridiplantae, Streptophyta, Magnoliopsida, Poales, Poaceae.